GACGAACGCUGGCGGCGUGCUUAACACAUGCAAGUCGAACGGUGAAGCGGUGCUUGCGCCGUGUAUUAGUGGCGCACGGGUGAGUAAUACGUGAGUGACCUACCUUUUACUCUGUGAUAAGCCUUGGGAACAGGGGCUAAUACCGGAUACGACCAAUCUCUGCAUGGGGUGUUGGUGGAAAGCGUUAUGGAGUGGUUUUAGAUGGGCUCACGGCCUAUCAGCUUGUUGGUGAGGUAAUGGCUUACCAAGGCGACGACGGGUAGCCGGCCUGGGGGGGUGACCGGCCACACUGGGACUGAGACACGGCCCAGACUCCUACGGGAGGCAGCAGUGGGGAAUAUUGCACAAUGGGCGCAAGCCUGAUGCAGCGACGCCGCGUGAGGGAUGACGGCCUUCGGGUUGUAAACCUCUUUUGGCAUCGAAGAAGCGAAAGUGACGGUAGGUGCAGAGAAAGCGCCGGCUAACUACGUG
This 471-nucleotide ribosomal RNA is filed under the name uncultured bacterium. RNAcentral describes it as "partial 16S ribosomal RNA". It matches the Rfam family "Bacterial small subunit ribosomal RNA", at positions 28 to 507 of the family's 1533-position model. The record is from RNAcentral.